RNAcentral lists this ribosomal RNA (474 nucleotides) under uncultured bacterium. Its description in RNAcentral is "bacterial SSU rRNA". It matches the Rfam family "Bacterial small subunit ribosomal RNA", at positions 328 to 793 of the family's 1533-position model. The record is from RNAcentral.
CUCUGUGACUCCUACGGGAGGCAGCAAGUAAGGAAUAUUGGUCAAUGGACGCAAGUCUGAACCAGCCAUGCCGCGUGAAGGAUGAAGGUCCUCUGGAUUGUAAACUUCUUUUAUAGGGGGCGAAAAAAGGUUUUUCUAAAUCACUUGACAGUACCCUAUGAAUAAGCACCGGCUAACUCCGUGCCAGCAGCCGCGGUAAUACGGAGGGUGCAAGCGUUAUCCGGAUUCACUGGGUUUAAAGGGUGCGUAGGCGGUAGGUAAGUCAGAGGUGAAAAUCCUGGAGCUUAAACUCCAGAAACUGCCUUUUGAUACUAUCUAUCUUGAAAUAUGGUGGAGGUAAGCGGAAUAUGUCAUGUAGCGGUGAAAAUGCAUAGAUAUGACAUAGAACACCUAUUGCGAAGGCAGCUUACUACGCCUAUAUUGACGCUGAGGCACGAAAGCGUGGGGAUCAAACAGGAUUAGAUACCCUGGUAG